This 959-nucleotide long non-coding RNA is filed under the name Lathyrus oleraceus (garden pea). RNAcentral's name for it is "Pisum sativum (pea) long non-coding RNA (PSAT_LNC002005)". Lineage: Eukaryota; Viridiplantae; Streptophyta; Magnoliopsida; Fabales; Fabaceae. The record is from RNAcentral.
GAGGACUCAACUCAGGAGAGUCAACAAUUUACUCUCAACCGAGGCCCUUGGAUGUGUUGAUUGAGUAGUCAACAUGAUGGGAUAGUGGUCGCUUGAUCAAAUUGAAGGGAGAAGUAAGUUGAAUGAAAUGUUGAGAUGUGGAGUCAAACGCAAGUCUAUGGUGGGAGAACACCCAUGUGAAUGGUCAAAGACUGACCAUCUGAAGGACCAGAGGGCGCCACAUGUUUGUGAUCAACGGAGGAAAAAAGAGGCAUAUAAGUGCACCUCCUUCAGAAAUGGAUCAUUAUCAUUUUUCUUUCUCUCUCUUAACCUCCUUAUUCUCUCUACUCUCUCUACUUCACUCUCUACUCUCUCCCUCUAACACUUCUCCUGCCACCACCCUUAACCCUUAGCCACUGGACCAGACACCGUGUUGGCUAUCACUUUCAACCAAACCUAUGAACCCUAACUUCGAAUGCUAAGAACCCUAUCCAAAACCCAGAAGAACCCUAACCCUACAUAAUAUAAACCCUACAUAAUUAUUUACUUUGCUUGUGUUCUUUGUGAUGACUCACUCUCGUUUUUGUGUUUGCAAGGUACUGGUGAUGGCUAGUAGGAAUGGUUGGAGGCUUAAGGUUUAGCAAGAUUUUUCUUCAGAUAAUGAAGAAAACUCUUUAGGUUUUCUUUUUUUGUAAAACGAAUUCGAUUUGUUUGUAAACCUAAGUUUUCUUUUAUAUUGUAAAAAUUAGGUCUAACUUUUAAUUUUAUUUGUUUAGUUUAGGAAAAAUCUGAUUAGGGAUUGAUUCAGAUUUGUAUUUUUGAGCAAGUUCAAUUCUAACAGCAAAUUAGUGAUAAUGAAAAGAGAUUUUUGUUUUGUUUUGUUUUGGUCCUUAGAUCCAUUUCGAUCUUUCAUUGACGCAUAUUUUUUGGUAUUGGAAGCUUGGUGCACUAUAUUGACAAUUGACCUAGGCUAAUGAUAA